UCGAGAGUUUGAUCCUGGCUCAGGAUGAACGCUAGCGGCAGGCUUAACACAUGCAAGUCGAGGGGUAUAGUUCUUCGGAACUAGAGACCGGCGCACGGGUGCGUAACGCGUAUGCAAUCUACCUUUUACAGAGGGAUAGCCCCAGAGAAAUUUGGAUUAAUACCUCAUAGUAUGUGAGAAUCGCAUGGUUUUCACAUUAAAGUUCCAACGGUAAAAGAUGAGCAUGCGUCCCAUUAGCUAGAUGGUAAGGUAACGG
RNAcentral lists this ribosomal RNA (256 nucleotides) under uncultured Flavobacterium sp. RNAcentral describes it as "partial 16S ribosomal RNA". It matches the Rfam family "Bacterial small subunit ribosomal RNA", at positions 1 to 263 of the family's 1533-position model. Lineage: Bacteria; Pseudomonadati; Bacteroidota; Flavobacteriia; Flavobacteriales; Flavobacteriaceae. The record is from RNAcentral.